GGGGGCGAAAGGCUUCGACAGGGGCUUGUAUAGAUCUUUGGAUGCACGUCGGGCGUUUUCUUUUGGUAGCCCGUUAAAAAUGCUGGAAGAAUCACAAAUGCUAACUCUAAUCAAGAAUUAGCCUUAGCUGCCUAAUUUAGGUCAAGCUAAUGUCCUGCGGCAAGUCUGCUUGAAGCGAGUCGUUAGGGCAUAACACAGUUCAAGCUAGUGCAUAUUCACCGUCUGCGAAUAUGCAUGAAAUGUUAGCCAGGCUAGUCUGUUGUGAGGUCUUGUCAUUUCACAUACUUGCUUCAGAUGAAACUUAAGUGAAACGACUAAACGUGUAGAUUCUACUGGUCGCAACCUUUGGAUGCGAGUUCGAUUCUCGCCGCCUCCACCA
Molecule: transfer-messenger RNA, 379 nt
Filed under: Pyrinomonadaceae
Lineage: Bacteria; Pseudomonadati; Acidobacteriota; Blastocatellia; Blastocatellales
Also listed under: 1 other name
Description: Aridibacter sp013003295 Standard tmRNA
Rfam family: transfer-messenger RNA
About the family: Bacterial tmRNA, also known as 10Sa RNA or SsrA, is named for its dual tRNA and mRNA-like properties.
Source: RNAcentral